This 441-nucleotide ribosomal RNA is filed under the name uncultured bacterium. Its description in RNAcentral is "partial 16S ribosomal RNA". It matches the Rfam family "Bacterial small subunit ribosomal RNA", at positions 338 to 795 of the family's 1533-position model. The record is from RNAcentral.
CCUACGGGAGGCAGCAGUGGGGGAUAUUGCACAAUGGGGGAAACCCUGAUGCAGCGACGCCGCGUGGGGGAAGACGGUCCUCUGGAUUGUAAACCACUGUCCCCAGGGACGAAGAUGACGGUACCUGACUAAGAAGCCCCGGCUAACUACGUGCCAGCAGCCGCGGUAAUACGUAGGGGGCAAGCGUUAUCCGGAUUUACUGGGUUUAAAGGGAGCGUAGACGGCUUGGCAAGCCAGAUGUGAAAGUCUGGGGCUCAACCCCAGGACUGCAUUUGGAACUGUCAUGCUAGAGUGUCGGAGAGGCAGGCGGAAUUCCUAGUGUAGCGGUGAAAUGCGUAGAUAUUAGGAGGAACACCAGUGGCGAAGGCGGCCUGCUGGACGAUGACUGACGUUGAGGCUCGAAAGCGUGGGGAGCAAACAGGAUUAGAUACCCGUGUAGUC